UACGUAGGGGCCUAGCGUUGUCCGGAAUCAUUGGGCGUAAAGAGCUCGUAGGCGGUUCGGCAAGUCACGUGUGAAAUCUCCACGCUUAACGUGGAGGCGCCACGUGAAACUGCCGUGACUCGAGUCCGGUAGGGGAGUGUGGAAUUCCCGGUGUAGCGGUGAAAUGCGCAGAGAUCCGGAGGAACACCGACGGCGCAGGCAGCGUCC
Molecule: ribosomal RNA, 207 nt
Filed under: uncultured bacterium
Lineage: Bacteria
Description: partial 16S ribosomal RNA
Rfam family: Bacterial small subunit ribosomal RNA
Source: RNAcentral